CUCUAACUUAAGACAUAUUACUACUAGAUUUCAGAUGGUUUAACUUAUGUUACAACCAAUCAUGAUGUGAAGAUGCGCUCCGAGAUUGAUUUGUGAACGAAGAUUCACAGAGCGAUAUUACAGAAAUUCUAAUAUUUACAACUCUACCAAUUCCAAAAGAAUGUGUGUGCCAUUUAUCUUGUAGUUCCAAAACCAGCUUCCAGUUUCCAUCAUAUUUGGUUCUAUGGGGUUGACCUGGACUUCCAAGCCUGAAUAUCCUGAUAUGAUCUUCAUUUUGUAGCCAUCUGGAACUUCAAAUACAUGAUUACCCUCUAGGAUAACAUUGUUGGCCUCAAAUUCUGCAUUCCCAUGCAGAAUAACUUUAAAUGCCUCAAAUCGUUGUACGCUAUGUUUCCAGUACACAUUUUCGC
RNAcentral lists this unclassified non-coding RNA (410 nucleotides) under Hevea brasiliensis (rubber tree). The record is from RNAcentral. Lineage: Eukaryota; Viridiplantae; Streptophyta; Magnoliopsida; Malpighiales; Euphorbiaceae.